Molecule: non-coding RNA, 191 nt
Filed under: Metapseudomonas resinovorans NBRC 106553
Lineage: Bacteria; Pseudomonadati; Pseudomonadota; Gammaproteobacteria; Pseudomonadales; Pseudomonadaceae
Description: Pseudomonas resinovorans NBRC 106553 Nitrogen regulated small RNA
Rfam family: Nitrogen regulated small RNA
About the family: Its transcription is induced during nitrogen limitation by the NtrB/C two-component system (an important regulator of nitrogen assimilation and swarming motility) together with the alternative sigma factor RpoN (a global regulator involved in nitrogen metabolism). By activating rhlA (a gene essential for rhamnolipids synthesis) it positively regulates the production of rhamnolipid surfactants needed for swarming motility.
Source: Rfam by way of RNAcentral
GACAACCCUUCUGGGGACCUUGGUACAGGCAGGCCGGGGAAUCCCCUCUUUUAUCCACAGGCGCGCUGGCUUCCAGCCGCCGGGGCUCCAGCGGAGUCCGCUGCAAUACAGCGUCGUCGGCAAUGCCGGCGACCACCCUUCUGGGGGCCUUGGUACAGGCAGGCCGGGGAAUCCCCUCUUUUAUUCGGCGC